UAAGAGCGUGCAUCCUAGUUAGGCGUCCACACUUAUCGGUUUGUUUGAUGUUACAGCCAAGGGUCUGUAGCUCAGGUGGUUAGAGCACCGUCUUGAUAAGGCGGGGGUCGUAGGUUCAAGUCCUACCAGACCCACCAAGUUACGGGCGGCGGAGAGCGAUCUUGCCGUGAACUGGGGGAUUAGCUCAGCUGGGAGAGCACCUGCUUUGCAAGCAGGGGGUCGUCGGUUCGAUCCCGUCAUCCUCCACCAACACCUUGUGGUAGCCAAACGCAAGCAUCGAGAGAUCGGUGUUUGCGUUUGGCAUUGCCAAGACGAGUAGUAACUCGGCUGUUCUUUAACAAUAUGGAAUGUAGUAAAGGUGUCGCGGCGCGUUGAUGAGGCGCGCAAUUUAAACGCGACACUGGGUUGUGAUUGUAUCAACCAGUAUUACGAGUGAUCGAAAGACCGCUUGGAAUACGGCACAACGCGAGAACUCAGCCUAUAGCGAGACAUACUCGUUAUAG
Molecule: transfer RNA, 503 nt
Filed under: Ralstonia solanacearum
Lineage: Bacteria; Pseudomonadati; Pseudomonadota; Betaproteobacteria; Burkholderiales; Burkholderiaceae
Description: 16S-23S ribosomal RNA intergenic spacer
Rfam family: tRNA (bases 61-134)
Source: RNAcentral